Molecule: ribosomal RNA, 414 nt
Filed under: Triticum aestivum (bread wheat)
Lineage: Eukaryota; Viridiplantae; Streptophyta; Magnoliopsida; Poales; Poaceae
Description: partial small subunit ribosomal RNA
Source: RNAcentral
AUGGAGGCCGACGCGGAGCUGGAAGAGGUGAGGCCGGCUAUCACCCAGCGGGCUUCAACGAUCGCCGAGUGCACCGACAUCAGCGUUUUUGCACCCGAGAUCGAUGAUGACGGUGUUGCCCAGCCGGAGGAGUGGUUCGGGCUGAACCCGGCGGUGGACAAGGACUCGGCGGAGGAGAUCGCCUCCAGCGACGAGGGCGAGGAUGACGGGCAGGAGGACGACGAAGACGUCGAGCCGGCUGGUGGAACAACCGGCCGACCUCAGGCCGACCGUGCCUCCCGCAACGAGGUGCGUGGAAGCGCGCCUUCUGCGGGAGGCGGUGACCAAGCCGAGGUUCGCCAGCCGGCCGCUCCUUCAGCCGGCACAACCGUCUCCGCCAACCAGCCCGGCUCCUCGGUCGCUCCGCCGGCUUGA